AGGGUUCGAUCCUGGCUCAGGAUGAACGCUAGCGGCAGGCUUAACACAUGCAAGUCGAGGGGUAACAGAGGUAGCUUGCUACUUGCUGACGACCGGCGCACGGGUGCGUAACGCGUAUAGAAUCUACCUUGUACUAGGGGAUAGCCUUUGGAAACGAAGAUUAAUACCCUAUAGUAAGUAUUUAUGGCAUCAUUUAUACUUUAAAGGUUACGGUACAAGAUGACUAUGCGUCCUAUUAGUUUGUUGGUGAGGUAACGGCUCACCAAGACUUCGAUAGGUAGGGGCCCUGAGAGGGGGAUCCCCCACACUGGUACUGAGACACGGACCAGACUCCUACGGGAGGCAGCAGUGAGGAAUAUUGGACAAUGGAGGCAACUCUGAUCCAGCCAUGCCGCGUGCAGGAUGACGGCCCUAUGGGUUGUAAACUGCUUUUAUGUAGGAAGAAACACUCUCACGUGUGAGAGCUUGACGGUACUACAAGAAUAAGGACCGGCUAACUCCGUGCCAGCAGCCGCGGUAAU
This 521-nucleotide ribosomal RNA is filed under the name uncultured bacterium. Its description in RNAcentral is "bacterial SSU rRNA". It matches the Rfam family "Bacterial small subunit ribosomal RNA", at positions 8 to 524 of the family's 1533-position model. The record is from RNAcentral.